Molecule: ribosomal RNA, 223 nt
Filed under: uncultured bacterium
Lineage: Bacteria
Description: partial 16S ribosomal RNA
Rfam family: Bacterial small subunit ribosomal RNA
Source: RNAcentral
CGACGUGAGCAAUCUGCCUUUAAGAGGGGGAUAACAGUCGGAAACGGCUGCUGAUACCGCAUAAAGCAUUGAAACCGCAUGAUUUUGAUGCCAAAGGAGCAAUCCGCUUUUAGAUGAGCUCGCGUCUGAUUAGCUAGUUGGCGGGGUAACGGCCCACCAAGGCGACGAUCAGUAGCCGGACUGAGAGGUUGAACGGCCACAUUGGGACUGAGACACGGCCCAG